This 739-nucleotide ribosomal RNA is filed under the name marine metagenome. RNAcentral describes it as "bacterial SSU rRNA". It matches the Rfam family "Bacterial small subunit ribosomal RNA", at positions 385 to 1116 of the family's 1533-position model. The record is from RNAcentral.
GAUCCAGCCAUGCCGCGUGUGUGAAGAAGGCCCUCGGGUUGUAAAGCACUUUCAGCGAGGAAGAACGCCUAGCGGUUAAUACCCGCUAGGAAAGACAUCACUCGCAGAAGAAGCACCGGCUAACUCCGUGCCAGCAGCCGCGGUAAUACGGAGGGUGCAAGCGUUAAUCGGAAUUACUGGGCGUAAAGCGCGCGUAGGUGGCUUGAUAAGCCGGUUGUGAAAGCCCCGGGCUCAACCUGGGAACGGCAUCCGGAACUGUCAAGCUAGAGUGCAGGAGAGGAAGGUAGAAUUCCCGGUGUAGCGGUGAAAUGCGUAGAGAUCGGGAGGAAUACCAGUGGCGAAGGCGGCCUUCUGGACUGACACUGACACUGAGGUGCGAAAGCGUGGGUAGCAAACAGGAUUAGAUACCCUGGUAGUCCACGCCGUAAACGAUGUCGACCAGCCGUUGGGUGCCUAGCGCACUUUGUGGCGAAGUUAACGCGAUAAGUCGACCGCCUGGGGAGUACGGCCGCAAGGUUAAAACUCAAAUGAAUUGACGGGGGCCCGCACAAGCGGUGGAGCAUGUGGUUUAAUUCGAUGCAACGCGAAGAACCUUACCUACUCUUGACAUCCUGCGAAUUUGGUAGAGAUACCUUAGUGCCUUCGGGAACGCAGAGACAGGUGCUGCAUGGCUGUCGUCAGCUCGUGUUGUGAAAUGUUGGGUUAAGUCCCGUAACGAGCGCAACCCUUGUCCUUAUUU